GGGGGCGACCAGGUUUCGACGUGGUCGGUUCUCCGGUCGAGCAGCGAGCCGAGGUCGCCGGUAGGCCUCGUAAAUCAACCGGCACACAAAGCAAGUGCGAAGAACGAUCUCGCACUCGCCGCCUAGUUCACUCUAGGUAAGGCGACGUCCCACCCGGUUCGGCCCGAGACCGGGAAUGGGGCGCCAACGAUCGGGCUCGGCACCGACGGAGAGCCAAUCGCCGGAGGCGCGACAACGUAGGAUGGCUGGCCCGUCGGUAGGUCGUCCGCGAACCGGCCGCCGGGCGAGAGCAAAGCGCGGACUACGCUCGUAGACGUUCGGUCGGUGCGGCCUCGGACGCGGGUUCGAUUCCCGCCGCCUCCAUCA
RNAcentral lists this transfer-messenger RNA (366 nucleotides) under Gaiellaceae. RNAcentral's name for it is "Gaiella sp013694685 Standard tmRNA". It matches the Rfam family "transfer-messenger RNA". Rfam says of the family: Bacterial tmRNA, also known as 10Sa RNA or SsrA, is named for its dual tRNA and mRNA-like properties. Its role is to liberate the mRNA from a stalled ribosome. To accomplish this part of the tmRNA is used as a reading frame that ends in a translation stop signal. The record is from RNAcentral. Lineage: Bacteria; Bacillati; Actinomycetota; Thermoleophilia; Gaiellales. RNAcentral also lists the same sequence under 1 other name.